AAGAUUUUAAGUUAAAAAAAACUAAAAACCUUCAAAGUUUUAAAUAAAAUUUAUAUUAUUUUAAAUCUUA
This 70-nucleotide transfer RNA is filed under the name Leptocimbex linealis. RNAcentral's name for it is "tRNA-Trp". Lineage: Eukaryota; Metazoa; Arthropoda; Insecta; Hymenoptera; Cimbicidae. The record is from RNAcentral.